Molecule: long non-coding RNA, 1620 nt
Organism: Homo sapiens (human)
Lineage: Eukaryota; Metazoa; Chordata; Mammalia; Primates; Hominidae
Exons: 3
Source: RefSeq, a predicted model, not a curated record
GUGGGCCAAACCCCAGCCAGUUCCACACAUCGAGGCUGUGUCAGCGCCGCAGGCCUCCCUCCCUGUCCCUCCUCCCUCCCUGGUCGGCGCUUUCCCUCCCAGGCUUUCUCCCGCCCUCCUGCCCUGGGCCCCUCUCCCAGCCCCACCCCGUGCCUGCCUGGGCCCUCGCUUCCCCUCCAGCCUCCUCCCUUGCCCUUUCUCCAUUGCUUGGUUCUCCAGCCAGCUUCCCCCUGUCUUGCACUUUCCUACCUCCUCCUUGGUCUGUGGGAUGGACAUGGGCCUAGUGGGGAGAGAGUGCCCCCAGAGGGCAACAGGCCAGUCGCUGCCCCUAAAGACUGCCUGCUUGACCUAGCACCGUGGAAACCUGCCCAGCCUGCCUUGCUCACCACCUCCCGUGGUCCUACGUCUGAUUGCUGGCAGAGCUCUGUCUGGUUCUGGAGCCUUUGGGAUUCCCCAAACCCUGAGUGAGAAAGUUCACCUUCCAGGACUUUCCGUGCUCCUCUGGCAAGGACAACAUGGGCAAAGUGCUAAGAUUUUGGACUACGAGGUUUGGCGCUGCCAGUGCUCUCAGGACAGGAAGGGCACAGGUCUUGAACCCUGAAGAUGAAGAGAGAUGGAGCAGGUGCUAAUCACCAGGCCUCUUCCAGAGCGGCUGGAGGUAAGUGCCGGGCUCCAGGCUCCAAUCUCCACCCAGAUGGAGAAAGGCCCAGAUUUCAUGGCUAUCCCUGAGGAAUCUGGGUCAGUUCUCUGAUUUGGCCACCAGGGGUCAUUUUACCCCUGUAAAUCACCAUCUGGAGCACUUGGCAUAAAGGCACACACAAAAGGCUACCCUGGACUAAAACAGACACAAACGGAGAACCCUGACACACACACACACACACACACACACACCUCUCUCUCUCUCUCUCUCACACACACACACACACACAUUCUCUCACACACACAGAGUGCGUGCACACACAGAUAAAAAUACAGUAUUGAGACAUAGGGACAGAAAUGCUAUAGGACGCACACAGGGCAACAGCUCCUUCAGUAAUGCCAGGGUCUGAAGAUGUCCACAAGUGCCAACUCUGCAGCCCCUCCGAGCCCCCAACUUGGGUGAAGAGGGAAGGAAUAGCCGGGCACAAUGGCUCAUGCCUGUAAUCCCAGCACUUUGGGACGCAGGCAGAUUCACCUGAGGUCAGGAGUUCGAGACCAGUCUGGCCAACAUAGUGAAACCCUAUCACUACUAAAAAUACAAAAAAUUAGCCGGGUGUGGUGGUGUGCACCUGUAAUCCCAGCUACUUGGGAGGCUGAGGCAGGAGAAUCCUAUGAACCCGGGAGGCAGAGGUUGCAGUGUGCUGAGAUCGCGCCAUUGCACUCCAGCCCAGGUGACAGUGCGAGACCCUGUCUCAACAAAAAAAAAAAAAGAGGGAAGGACUAGUAGGUGGCCCAUUUCCCUUGCUUCCAGCGUGCUGAGAAUGGACAGCCUAUUCCUGUCCUCCCAUCUCACUCUUAACUUCCCCAUAAACUUUUCUCUCCUGGCUGUGGCACAGUUCCCUUUUCCCUCCCCCAGAGAAGCCCCAUCCCCUCUGCCUGAGUGUAUGACUAGUUCCACCCCCCAGUCUCCAUCCCUGCCCC